Long non-coding RNA from Herpailurus yagouaroundi (jaguarundi), 508 nucleotides. RefSeq lists it as uncharacterized. Lineage: Eukaryota; Metazoa; Chordata; Mammalia; Carnivora; Felidae. The record is from RefSeq and is a predicted model, not a curated record. The transcript is spliced from 3 exons.
UGGUGUAAAAGGCAGGUAACACACAGUUACGUGUGUGAUGGGAUUCCUCGUGGUGCAGACCCUCAGCCUUCUCGAGACCCGAGUCCCGCAGGUCGGGUCCUCUGUUUCCCCCAAUCACGUGACUUCAGAGCUAACAGAUGAGAAAUGGGCAGGGCUCUUUCUGGGGCAAGGCAAACUUCCUUGAUGAAGAAGAGGGGCUGACUUGGAGGGAAGGGGUUCUCCCGACUUCCUGCAGGCUUCAUGGAAAUGAGAAUGUUAGCGGGACCCGUGUAGAACUCCCAGCUUCACUGCAACCCCAGUGAAAUGAAAUCUGCGUCUCUCUUGCAACUCGGAGAUCCACCUAUGAGCUGGCAGAUAAUUACAGCUGUCCUUGGAGCCGAUCCAGCCUCCCUCCGCUCCCAGUUCAGGAAUCGGUGAUCAUGGAACAGAGUUAGUUUUUGUCUCGUUCGGUGUCUCGGGGCUCCAGUCUUUAAAUCCCGGGGCCCGGCUGAAUAAAAUAACACCAAGA